This is a microRNA precursor of Gallus gallus (chicken), 104 nucleotides long. NCBI's taxonomy places the organism in Eukaryota, Metazoa, Chordata, Aves, Galliformes, Phasianidae. The record is from Ensembl.
GAUGGCUUCCAGCAGGGUGCGUAUCCAGAGGCAAAGGAGCACUGCUGCUAAAUGGGACACGGCAGAGCUGCUUUCUCUGUGAUGAUGCACUCUGCGUAGUCAUU